This 506-nucleotide ribosomal RNA is filed under the name uncultured bacterium. RNAcentral's name for it is "partial 16S ribosomal RNA". It matches the Rfam family "Bacterial small subunit ribosomal RNA", at positions 29 to 523 of the family's 1533-position model. The record is from RNAcentral.
AGUGAACGCUGGCGGUAGGCCUAACACAUGCAAGUCGAACGGCAGCACAGGAGAGCUUGCUCUCUGGGUGGCGAGUGGCGGACGGGCGAGGAAUACAUCGGAAUCUACUUUUUCGUGGGGGAUAACGUAGGGAAACUUACGCUAAUACCGCAUACGACCUACGGGUGAAAGCAGGGGACCUUCGGGCCUUGCGCGAUUGAAUGAGCCGAUGUCGGAUUAGCUAGUUGGCGGGGUAAAGGCCCACCAAGGCGACGAUCCGUAGCUGGUCUGAGAGGAUGCUCAGCCACACUGGAACUGAGACACGGUCCAGACUCCUACGGGAGGCAGCAGUGGGGAAUAUUGGACAAUGGGCGCAAGCCUGAUCCAGCCAUACCGCGUGGGUGAAGAAGGCCUUCGGGUUGUAAAGCCCUUUUGUUGGGAAAGAAAUCCAGCUGGCUAAUACCCGGUUGGGAUGACGGUACCCAAAGAAUAAGCACCGGCUAACUUCGUGCCAGCAGCCGCAGUAA